RNAcentral lists this ribosomal RNA (220 nucleotides) under uncultured bacterium. RNAcentral describes it as "partial 16S ribosomal RNA". It matches the Rfam family "Bacterial small subunit ribosomal RNA", at positions 57 to 305 of the family's 1533-position model. The record is from RNAcentral.
GCAAGUCGAGCGCGCCCUUCGGGGUGAGCGGCGGACGGGUGAGUAACGCGUGGGAAUAUGCCCUUCUCUAAGGAAUAGCCUCUGGAAACGGAGAGUAAUACCUUAUACGCCCUUUGGGGGAAAGAUUUAUCGGAGAAGGAUUAGCCCGCGUUAGAUUAGGUAGUUGGUGGGGUAAUGGCUUACCAAGACUACGAUAGAUAGGGGUUCUGAGAGGAUAGUC